RNAcentral lists this ribosomal RNA (462 nucleotides) under Streptococcus mitis. RNAcentral describes it as "bacterial SSU rRNA". It matches the Rfam family "Bacterial small subunit ribosomal RNA", at positions 28 to 474 of the family's 1533-position model. The record is from RNAcentral. Lineage: Bacteria; Bacillati; Bacillota; Bacilli; Lactobacillales; Streptococcaceae.
GACGAACGCUGGCGGCGUGCCUAAUACAUGCAAGUAGAACGCUGAAGGAGGAGCUUGCUUCUCUGGAUGAGUUGCGAACGGGUGAGUAACGCGUAGGUAACCUGCCUGGUAGCGGGGGAUAACUAUUGGAAACGAUAGCUAAUACCGCAUAAUAGUAGAUGUUGCAUGACAUUUGCUUAAAAGGUGCAAUUGCAUCACUACCAGAUGGACCUGCGUUGUAUUAGCUAGUUGGUGAGGUAACGGCUCACCAAGGCGACGAUACAUAGCCGACCUGAGAGGGUGAUCGGCCACACUGGGACUGAGACACGGCCCAGACUCCUACGGGAGGCAGCAGUAGGGAAUCUUCGGCAAUGGACGGAAGUCUGACCGAGCAACGCCGCGUGAGUGAAGAAGGUUUUCGGAUCGUAAAGCUCUGUUGUAAGAGAAGAACGAGUGUGAGAGUGGAAAGUUCACACUGGGACG